Etheostoma cragini (Arkansas darter) is the source of this 139-nucleotide long non-coding RNA. RefSeq lists it as uncharacterized. The transcript has 3 exons. The record is from RefSeq and is a predicted model, not a curated record. NCBI's taxonomy places the organism in Eukaryota, Metazoa, Chordata, Actinopteri, Perciformes, Percidae.
CAGACGCUACUCUGCUGCUCGAGCAAAACUAACUCUGCUUUAGUGUUUAAAUUAGCGGCUAAUUGCCUGGAUUGCAUUUAAAUUAACUUAAAUUAGUUAUACUCAAGCACUUAUACUUCUCUUCUCUUACAGCCACUGA